UCCGGAGGGGGCAAGCAUUAAUCGGAUUUAUUGGGCGUAAAGGGCGCGUAGGCGGGUUUGUAAGUCAGAUGUGAAAUUCCGAAGCUCAACUUCGGAGCUGCAUUUGAAACUACAAGUCUAGAGGAGUGGCGGAGAAAAUGGAAUUCCACGUGUAGCGGUGAAAUGCGUAGAUAUGUGGAAGAACACCUGUGGCGAAAGCGGUUUUCUAGCUUAUUCCUGACGCUGAGGCGCGAGAGCAAGGGGAGCAAACAGG
Molecule: ribosomal RNA, 253 nt
Filed under: uncultured bacterium
Lineage: Bacteria
Description: partial 16S ribosomal RNA
Rfam family: Bacterial small subunit ribosomal RNA
Source: RNAcentral